This 440-nucleotide ribosomal RNA is filed under the name uncultured bacterium. RNAcentral describes it as "partial 16S ribosomal RNA". It matches the Rfam family "Bacterial small subunit ribosomal RNA", at positions 338 to 795 of the family's 1533-position model. The record is from RNAcentral.
CCUACGGGAGGCAGCAGUGGGGAAUAUUGCACAAUGGGGGAAACCCUGAUGCAGCGACGCCGCGUGAGUGAAGAAGUAUUUCGGUAUGGAAAGCUCUAUCAGCAGGGAAGAAAAUGACGGUACCUGAUGAAGAAGCCCCGGAUAACUACGUGCCAGCAGCCGCGGUAAUACGUAGGGGGCAAGCGUUAUCCGGAUUUACUGGGUGUAAAGGGAGCGUAGACGGCAGCACAAGUCUGGAGUGAAAUGCCGGGGCUUAACCCCGGAACUGCUUUGGAAACUGUGCAGCUAGCGUGCAGGAGAGGUAAGUGGAAUGCCUGGUGUAGCGGUGAAAUGCGUAGAUAUUAGGAGGAACACCAGUGGCGAAGGCGGCUUACUGGACUGUAACUGACGUUGAGGCUCGAAAGCGUGGGGAGCAAACAGGAUUAGAUACCCGUGUAGUC